ACCACAUUCAUGUGGCAAAUGCUGCUUUAUGGAGAUGUUUCUAAUACUGACCUACAAUAAUUCAGCCAAGAUCACAUUUCUACUGUCUUCAGGAAAUGAGAAAAAUGAAUCUAGGAAAUUUCCAUCUUUAAAUAUACUCUAUAAGUGUGCUGUCCAAUACACACAUAGCUACUGAGCACUGGAAUAUAGCUAGUCUGAAUGGAGAUGUUCUGUUUGACUUUUUUGGACUCCACAUGUGUGAGAUCAUGCAGCAUUUGUUUUUCUGUGCAUGGCUUAUUUCACUUAGCGUAAUGUCUUCCAGGCUCAUCCAGGUUGUUGCAAAUGGCCAGGAUUUUCUUCUUUUUUAAGCCUUGGAGAGUCAUUUGUUUUCAUAAGAGAUUCACACCCUACAUGAUGCCUUCUGCCAUGGGCGGUCCCUCACCAGAUUCUAGUGCCAUGCUCUUGGACUUCCUAGCCUCCAGAACCAUAAGCCAAAUAAACUUUAGUUCUUUAUAAAUUACCCAAUCUGUGGUAUUCUGUUAUAGCAGCAGAAAAUGAAGUAGAACAUUGAGUCAUUUCCCUAACCUAGACUGGCCAACUCUUUGCAAUUAUGAUCUUAUUAUUCAAUUUUUGAUUUUAGGAACUCUUUCUCCUUCCUACUUCUAAGGGUAAUAGAAUACAUUUUAGUCUUUUGUUUAUGAGAGCAAGUAUACAUUAAUUUUUUUUCUUUUAGAGUUUUAUGACAGUUGUUAACAUAACUGGAGACCCCCCCAAAGUGUGACAAGAAAAAAAUUAUUGUUCUAACUGUAGGGUGGUUGUAGCUACAUCUGAAUAAGACACAUUUUGAAAAUGAGAUAGUAAUCCCCUACAAAUUCUUUGCUGGAGUUCUUAGAUCUGGAGAAGUAAUUUCAUCAUGCAUUGUGAUUAUUUGGGAAAGUCCUAUUGUGCCUUUUUAAGAUGAUAGUGUGGAGCUGAUGGGGGAAAAUAAUCAGGAACAGCUGGAGGCUUUGCAAGUGUUCUCAUGAGCAGGAUGUUCCAUGCCAGGAGGGAAUGCAUUUUACUGGAAUUUUUAAAUAAAAAUGUUCUACUUCUUGAAUAUGUUUUUUAUUAGUAUUAUUUAGAAAUUUCAGUACUGGCUUUAUUUUCUGCAACAAUAAGGACAGAUAUACUUAUUGCUAAAGAUGUAGUUAACACAGUUUGGUU
This 1182-nucleotide long non-coding RNA is filed under the name Pongo abelii (Sumatran orangutan). RNAcentral's name for it is "lincRNA". The record is from RNAcentral. Lineage: Eukaryota; Metazoa; Chordata; Mammalia; Primates; Hominidae.